Alexandromys fortis (reed vole) is the source of this 2328-nucleotide long non-coding RNA. RefSeq lists it as uncharacterized. The record is from RefSeq and is a predicted model, not a curated record. NCBI's taxonomy places the organism in Eukaryota, Metazoa, Chordata, Mammalia, Rodentia, Cricetidae. The transcript has 4 exons.
AAAAUCUGCCUAAAGUUGUGCAGACUCAGGCUGCAGACACACCAGGUCCAGUCUCUGCGUUUGGGUGUCCCUGGCACCUGCCAGCUGUGCGUCCUCGGAAUUGAGGACAUCGUGUUUUCAAUUUUCUUCAAUAAAGCAAUGAAUCUGGCAAUUUGCUGGCCUGCUUCGGCUAAACAGAAAGGACAAUUUGAGAAGGAUCAUAGUUCAGGGCCAGUCAGACGGAAACGAUUGAAAACAGAGAGCUGGCCGUGGCGGUUCCCCAGUGCAGCGCGCUGUCGCAGUUUGACUGACAAACUGACUUUUCCGAGGUGCUCGUGCCCAUUUCAGUCAGAGUUUAUUGAAGGUGAUUUUGAUCUUCUCCAUGAGGCCACAGCAGUGGCCGUGCCAUCUGUCACCUUGAUUGCAUCGUGGAGUCUCUGGAGAGAGCGCCAUGGCUCCUGAUCACUUACAGAUUGUGCGGCUUUCUCCUCCAUACGGACCACAUGCGCCGAGCCAGAUGGUGAACAUACACGCUGAUUAUAAGUCUUUAUCUACGUGCAGGAAGGAGAGGAACUAUUAGGUUUCCCUCAGGAGCUCCGCUCCUCUCUACCCUCAUGCUGCUCCUCGGCAAAUACAGUCUUCUUCAGCUGUCAUCGGCCUACCUUGGAAAAUUAAAAAAAUAAACAAUAAUUCCAUCACCGGGCCCGGGAACCCAAGCUGGUGCCUCAGAGCAGUCCCCUGGCCUGGCUCCCCUUCUCGCAGGCCCCACCCCCACCCUCUCCCUGCCUGUCAGCACUAGCUACAAAGAAGUUUGUUUGUGAAUGCAUCAUUAAUGUGUUAGUUUUUUGAGAAACCGGGAGGGGCCCACGGCUUGGAAAUGAGACCUCGGGACCCCCCAGCUCUUUUGUGCCAUUGGGAUGGGGCGAUAUGGCUUCCAUCGCAGUGUGCCAUGCGCUUCCAUUUAGAGAGUCUCGUUAUUCAUUCUUUCUUUUAAAAGUUCAUAUCCCACGUUUUUUGAACUAUAGGCAUGUUUUGUUUAAUAAUUUCAGGAGGAUUGCUCCCAUUUGUGUCAAAGCAACAGGGCCCUGGGAGGGAUUUAGAGGCAGGGGACAGUGGUCAGGAGAGGGAACCUCUAAGUACAGUACUGGACAGAGGUACUUGUGGAGGAUGGGCAGAGGUAGGGGCCCUCUGAAGUCCACUGCAGUUUCCCUCCCUGAGCACCACUGCCACUCACUGUGAGAGAAACAUCGCUGUGAGAAACUCAUCGCUGUGAGAGACUCGUCAGAGACCCAUUACUGUGAGAGACCCGUCACUGUGAGAGACCCAUCGCUGUGAGAGGCGCACCUCUGUGAGAGACCCGUCGCUGUGAGAGACCCAUUGAUGUGAGAGACGCAUCUCUGUGAGAGACCCGUCGCUGUGAGAGACCCAUUGAUGUGAGAGACGCAUCUCUGUGAGAGACCCGUCGCUGUGAGACACCCAUUGAUGUGAGAGACGCAUCUCUGUGAGAGACCCGUCGCUGUGAGAGACCCAUCUCAAAGAUUCUGCUGGGAAACUGUAGUAUGUACAAAAUUCUUCACCUCCUCACAGUUCACAUGGAACCAUGAAGAAAAAGGUCCUUGAUCUUUCUACUGUUUGGGCAUAAUUUUGCGAUGGCAAUGGUCACAGUUCCCAGUUCUCUCUCAAGUCUUCCUUAAGCCAGGAGCAGUCGUCACAGCAGGGACUCAGCCACAGCCUUAUGAAGUCCUGUGCCCCUUGUGGUGUUCUGAGAAAGGGCUCCAGCUUUCUAAGGUUUAAAAUGAGCAGAAGACUAUUUGGCUGAACUCUGUAAGAGACUCACCAAGAGAACUGAGAGGCUGCAGCUGAAGGGAAAGCAUGUGUCAUUACUGAGGACACAGGAGGGAAACUGAGGCAUUCCCUAGCUGCCCCUGUUCACCUGCUAUGUCUGUAAGAUAGGAGCUCAGCUGUUACCAGGAAAACCCUACAGGAUGGCUUACCUAGGAUGGUUUAUUUUCAUCUUCCUCGUAAUUCUGAGUUUCAUAGAAGCAAACUGCUUUGUCUGGGAUGCCUGGGUCAGAGCGCCGUGUACCCAGUUUACUGAAAAGCUAUGAUGUGAAGUCAAAGGCACCCAGAGCAAGGAAGAAAAUGAGUCUCACAGCGGCACGGAAUAGGCUUUCCAACAGCGUGGAUUAGGUGAGGAGGAGCUGCUUCCUAUUUCAGCCUCAGAUGUGAUCGUAGUCCCAAGUCACAUACUUGGAGCCUUGCUGAGGAACCAGCUAACUUGUGUCCAUACUCCUUCCUGACUGAUAGACUGAGAUUUCAAAAAAAAAAAAAAAAUAGAUCUUGUUUCAA